RNAcentral lists this ribosomal RNA (427 nucleotides) under uncultured prokaryote. RNAcentral describes it as "bacterial SSU rRNA". It matches the Rfam family "Bacterial small subunit ribosomal RNA", at positions 355 to 774 of the family's 1533-position model. The record is from RNAcentral.
CUAAGAAUAUUCCGCAAUGGACGAAAGUCUGACGGAGCGACGCCGCGUGGAUGACGAAGGCCGAAAGGUUGUAAAGUCCUUUUGCUGGGGAAGAAUAACCAUGGGAGGGAAUGCCCGUGGGAUGACAUGAACCGGCGAAUAAGUCCCGGCUAACUACGUGCCAGCAGCCGCGGUAACACGUAGGGGGCGAGCGUUGUUCGGAAUUACUGGGCGUAAAGGGCAGGUAGGCGGCUCUGUAAGCCUGGCGUGAAAGUCACCGGCUCAACCGGUGGAUUGCGCUGGGGAGUGCGGGGCUUGAAUCAUGGAGAGGGAGCUAGAAUUCCAGGUGGAGGGGUGAAAUCUGUAGAGAUCUGGAAGAAUACCAGUGGCGAAGGCGAGCUCCUGGCCAAUGAUUGACGCUGAGGUGCGAAAGUGUGGGGAUCAAACA